RNAcentral lists this ribosomal RNA (496 nucleotides) under uncultured bacterium. Its description in RNAcentral is "bacterial SSU rRNA". It matches the Rfam family "Bacterial small subunit ribosomal RNA", at positions 28 to 509 of the family's 1533-position model. The record is from RNAcentral.
GAUGAACGCUAGCGGCAGGCUUAAUACAUGCAAGUUGAGGGGCAGCAUGAUAUACGCGAGUAUAUUGAUGGCGACCGGCGGACGGGUGAGUAAUAGGUAGGAGACCUACCUCAUACAGGGGGAUAGCAUAGAGAAAUCUGUGGUAAUACCCCAUGAGGUUAUAUGAAUAGAGGCAUAUAAUCAAAGCAUAAGCGAUUAUGCGGUAUGAGAGGGGCCUACUGACCAUUAGCUAGUUGGUGAGGUAAGGGCUCACCAAGGCGAAGAUGGUUAGGGGUUUUGAGAGAGAGACCCCCCACAUUGGAACUGAGAGACGGUCCAGACUCCUACGGGAGGCAGCAGUAGGGAAUAUUGGGCAAUGGGCGAAAGCCUGACCCAGCCAUGCCGCGUGAAGGAAGACGGCCUUAUGGGUUGUAAACUUCUUUACUACGCGAAUAGAGGUUAGUACGAGAUACUAAUAGGAAGGUAGUGUAGUAAAAGCACCGGCUAACUCCGUGCC